AGAAACGUGCCUGAUAAAAGGAUUAUUUUGAUAGAAUAAAUUAUACAUUUAAAUGUCUUUUCUU
This 64-nucleotide transfer RNA is filed under the name Cyphoderus albinus. RNAcentral's name for it is "tRNA-Ile". The record is from RNAcentral. Lineage: Eukaryota; Metazoa; Arthropoda; Collembola; Entomobryomorpha; Paronellidae.